The sequence is a ribosomal RNA, 740 nucleotides long. The stretch from base 324 to 479 matches the Rfam family "5.8S ribosomal RNA".
GGCGGUCCGCUGCCCGCGACGUCGCGAGAAGUCCACUGAACCUUAUCAUUUAGAGGAAGGAGAAGUCGUAACAAGGUUUCCGUAGGUGAACCUGCGGAAGGAUCAUUGUCGAAUCCUGCAUGGCAGCAUAACCCGUGAAUCUGUAAUCAAAAUGUGUCGAGUUUGAGCGGUGCCGCAAGGUCCCAUCCCUCUCGAUCGGCCCCAGCGGCCAUGAUAACAAACCCCGGCGCAAAUUGCGCCAAGGAACUUUGAUCAGCUAUACGUCUGCCCUGGGCACCUAGAAAUGGAGCGCUUAGGGUCGGGUGUCAUAUGUAAUCCAAAACGACUCUCGGCAACGGAUAUCUUGGCUCUCGCAUCGAUGAAGAACGUAGCGAAAUGCGAUACUUGGUGUGAAUUGCAGAAUCCCGUGAACCAUCGAGUCUUUGAACGCAAGUUGCGCCCUAAGCCUUUGGGCCGAGGGCACGUCUGCCUGGGUGUCACGUAUCGUAGCCCCUCCACCCUUGUUGGUGUUUGGCUGAAAUGGCUCUCCCGUCCUCUUUGUGGUGCGGUUGGCCCAAAUGGAGGAACCCCGAUGUGGUGUAUGCCAUGGUGAGCGGUGGUGUGUUUUACCUUGCCCUCGUUAACACACCGUGUGCAUCAUCUCAUUAUAGUGGGUGACUUGUGAACCCCAAUGCCGUCUAGCAAGACGUCGCACAUCGCGACCCCAGGUCAGGCGGGAAUAGUUUAAGCAUAUCAAUAAG